AACGCACCUUGCGCCCUCUGGCUAUUCCAGAGGGCAUGCCUGUUUGAGUAUCAUGAACACCUCAACUCUCAUGGUUUUACCGUGAUGAGCUUGGACUUUGGGGGUCUUGCCGGCCUGCGGUCGGCUCCUCUCAAAUGAAUCAGCUUGCCAGUGUUUGGUGGCAUCACGGGUGUGAUAACUAUCUACGCUUGUGGUUUUCCACCAGGUAACCUUCAGCAAUGAAGGUUCGCUGGAGCUCAUAAAUGUCUCUCCUCAGCGAGGACAGCUUCUUGAACGUUUGAUCUCAAAUCAGGUAGGGCUACCCGCUGAACUUAA
This 315-nucleotide unclassified non-coding RNA is filed under the name uncultured Thelephoraceae. RNAcentral describes it as "sequence contains ITS2". Lineage: Eukaryota; Fungi; Basidiomycota; Agaricomycetes; Thelephorales; Thelephoraceae. The record is from RNAcentral.